UGGUUUUAAAGAUGGACGUAAUAGGAAGAGUGGGAUUGCGUAAUCCGGCCUUUGUCAUUAUGCUGACUCUGGAGAAAUUGAUUCUAUGGUUAAGGCUGCUAGUUGUGUUUAUGGCUCAUGAAACGAGGAAUUUGAGGUUCAAAACACUGGAACUGCAUUUUUAGCGCAAAGGGUAGGGGGAAAAAACUAGUGACGAGGACAGGCAUUCAAUUAGGGAUUUGGUGCGUCUCAUGUGCAAAAUAGUAGCUAUGGAUGGCUUGACCCAGUGGACCUUGUCCCAUUUGAUCCUUAUUACAUUGAGAAAUCAAAGAAAACAAAUGCGUGGGCUUUUAUGAAUGCUGUUGAAGAGGCAGAGUAUGAGAUCCGAAGGAGGACUGCACUUUGCUUGUUGCACCGGUGUGCAUAAAUCCUUCUUACUUUAGGCAAAAAGUUUUCAAGUUUUCCUCACAGUUGAUCUGUGGGUAUGAGUCUGGUGGGCUUUAUACAGUUAAGCAAAUUAAG
This 501-nucleotide unclassified non-coding RNA is filed under the name Hevea brasiliensis (rubber tree). The record is from RNAcentral. Lineage: Eukaryota; Viridiplantae; Streptophyta; Magnoliopsida; Malpighiales; Euphorbiaceae.